This 289-nucleotide unclassified non-coding RNA is filed under the name uncultured bacterium. RNAcentral describes it as "partial contains 16S ribosomal RNA and 16S-23S ribosomal RNA intergenic spacer region". It matches the Rfam family "Bacterial small subunit ribosomal RNA", at positions 60 to 338 of the family's 1533-position model. The record is from RNAcentral.
GAGUAGAGCGAAUCAAUGGGAGCUUGCUCCCUGAGAUUAGCGUCGGCCGGGUGAGUAAGAAAUAGGGUAACCUGCCUGUAAGACUGGGAUAACUUCGGGAAACCGGAGCUAAUACCGGAUAAUUUCUUUUCUCGCAUGAGGAAAGAUGGAAAGAUGGUUCUGCUAUCACUUACAGAUGGACCCGCGGCGCAUUAGCUAGUUGGUGAGGUAACGGCUCACCAAGGCGACGAUGCGUAGCCGACCUGAGAGGGUGAUCGGCCACACUGGGACUGAGACACGGCCCAGACUC